Molecule: long non-coding RNA, 921 nt
Organism: Mesocricetus auratus (golden hamster)
Lineage: Eukaryota; Metazoa; Chordata; Mammalia; Rodentia; Cricetidae
Exons: 4
Source: RefSeq, a predicted model, not a curated record
CAGACUUUCCGGGAGGGGGUUUGGGCCUGCUGCACAGUAGAUCCCUCCUAGAGCGAGGAUUGGAGGCGGAGACGCAGCAGAAAGCCAGUCAACAACAGAGCACCUUGCCAAAACAGCUCCUGUGCGCUCUCGACCCAGCCUUCCCAUUGCUUGCCUCUAAGUGACAGCGACACAAGCCCGUAAUCCUUCCAACAGAGCAGGGGUUUCCUGCGAAGCACCGUGCGACAGACAACUCCUCCGGGUGAGUCUUGCAGGGCUUUAAGCUCUGCAGAAAGAAGUGCUCCUGCCACCCUCUGUCUGGAUCCCUGGCACGCGUCAGGCCUAGUUCUCAUGGUGCGGCUUACUCCCGGGCCCCUAGUCGCCUGCAUACUCCCUGCUGCGACGCGCUAGCGGUGGAGGGUAGGAGACGGACCAGGAAGAAGUUUGGCUUAGUCCAGAGUGUCACCCUGAGAUGGGAGUUCUCUUCCCCCCUCCUCGAAAGAUCGUCUUAAGAAACUCAGCCCCAUCAAAAGCUGGUGUAGAUUCCAGAAAAUGAGUGUUUACCCCUGCUGUGUGCAACCUGAGGCCAAAGUUCUCUUUGAGGGCUGAGGAUUCAUGAAUUCUAGGAAAAUGACCUACCACUGAGGCACACCUUUGGCUAACUUUAAGUCAUCUUCUGCUUUGAAACAGGGUUUCUCUUUAUUACGUUAUCUCUGGUUGUCCUGGAACUAGCUCUGCAGACCAGGCUAGCCUCCAAUUCCCAAGUGCUGGGAUUUAAAUGUUUGGGGGGGGGGGAGCAGGAUUUGCCAUGCUUAUCAGGCUGACUUCAAACUCUUAAGGUCAUUCUUCAUUGUGUGCCUCCACCUGAGUGCUUUCCUUCCCCUUUUUGAAAUACAGUCUCACCAUGUUCCUCAUGUUCGAAUUAAACUUAAAGUCUUCUGA